ACUCUGUGCUAGAGGGCCUGAUUCUUCCACCCCAGGGCCACACAUGCGGGGACAGCAAAGGAUAAUAAAUCCCACGGAUCGUCCUUCAGACUCUUCCCAUUGGCGAUGCCAUUAGAAGACUGGCUCAACCUGGAGGCAGCUGCGUGCUGUUCCUGACAUUACCAGACCUGCCCACUCUCCCCUGGAUCCCAACAUCACCGUCUACCUGGGUCCUCAUUCUUGUAACCCAACGAUGGCCUCCUAAAUUAGCAAAGUGCUUUGGCUCCUUUUCUAUAACAAAGGCUCUUUUUGAACCUCAUCAGUGAAACUAUGACAAAUAUUUUAUAAACGGCUCUCUGAAAGCACAGCUCGACACGUGCGCACUUACACGCACACACAAUGGCGUGUUUAGAUGCUCACGUGCGCUCUCUGCACAGGGCUGCAGCAUUUUCUCCCCUUCAAGUUUGCUCCCAAACGGAUUUAUUUUUUAAUUUUUAUUUUGUUGUACUGUAUGUAUCAACUGCACAAGGCAAUCAGCCAAAGAGAGAUUUAAACAUAUGGACUAAAUUUCAUGUCUUUGGAAAACAUGGUAGAGCAAGACAGCAAUAAGCUCUUCCACUCUGCUCUCUGGGGCUGCCACUUGGCUGAGGAGGGGACAUGUUACACCUGGGCCAAAUCAUCCUGGGUCUCCCACUCAAAGCGCCACUCUCAUGUCUGCAGCGGCCUGUGCAAAUAUGCAAAGCCCCCUUUGAAAGCUCUGUGGUGCUGCUUAGCGGUGUUCUUUGCACCUUGAACAAUGCUCACUCACAUGCAAGACCUGCCCAUGGACAUACCAGGAUUAGCAAAGCAAUCCACGGUCCUGAAUUUCUGUGGGUGCCUGCAUUUGCUAUGCUACAAGGGGAAGAGAUUGUCAUUUACAGUGAAAAAUAAAGGUGGUGUUAAUUAAAUUUAUUUUCCUGAGUGCCGACGUCUCCAGACCUCUAUUCCUUUUGUAAGAAAGCUUAUCAGAUGGAAUGAUCACAAUGGCGACGGUGAAAGUUCUACAGAUAACCCAAUAGUCGAUACAGUCACGAGUUUAAAAGAACCUUCCUGGGCUACUGUCAGGACUCCCAGGCAGGGAUGAAGAUGGGGAUAAUGAAAAACAAAAGUCCUGCCAGCACUAACAUUGUCAAGCCGUGAUAUCGGCACUUAAAACAACCGUUUGUGAGAGAAAACCUGGUAUCUGGCUUCUGACGUUUCAGUACAAUCUUCUAUUGUGCAUCUGGAUGACAUCACUGUUGUGUCCUUUGCAGAGAUGUGCAUACAGGGCCCUAACUGUCCAGGAGC
Long non-coding RNA from Homo sapiens (human), 1305 nucleotides. Ensembl annotates it as long intergenic non-protein coding RNA 1046. The record is from Ensembl. NCBI's taxonomy places the organism in Eukaryota, Metazoa, Chordata, Mammalia, Primates, Hominidae.